Long non-coding RNA from Clupea harengus (Atlantic herring), 508 nucleotides. The record is from Ensembl. NCBI's taxonomy places the organism in Eukaryota, Metazoa, Chordata, Actinopteri, Clupeiformes, Clupeidae.
AACCUCUGUGUGUCCAAAGACUUUAACUUGCAGCUUGCAAAGUGGUUGUGGGUUUCCUGUCGGCUUGUCAGCAAACUGCUUCCUUAUUUCAUUAGUAUUUAAUGCAACACUUGUUGCUUGUUCUCAGUGACAUGUGAAAGGGUAAAAUGGCAUCUUUCACAGUAUGUCUGCCAUCCUUUUACUUGUUUUGGGUCAUCACUCCUUACUUCCUGUUUGCAUUCACUCAUGUCCAUGAAUUUCCAAAACCACAGCUGUUGGUAUCCCCUUCAGUAAUUUGGCCGACAACCACAGUCCAUCUGAGUUGUGUAGUCCCCAAGGGACCAGUGUAUCCGUGUAUUUUCAUGGUGGGAGAGAACUACACCAUCCCUACAUCAUCAUGCCAGCUGACCCUCACAGGAGAACAAAUUAAAGCCUGGGGACGGGUAAACCCACCUUCGGAGCUUCCAGUGAAAUGUUUCUACACUGUAAAAGAGUCUGGUGUUAAACAUCCCUCUGAUUUCUCUUCUCC